Long non-coding RNA from Daphnia carinata, 538 nucleotides. RefSeq lists it as uncharacterized. The record is from RefSeq and is a predicted model, not a curated record. Lineage: Eukaryota; Metazoa; Arthropoda; Branchiopoda; Diplostraca; Daphniidae. The transcript is spliced from 4 exons.
UUGUCAAAGAGGCAGCUGCUGGUCGUCCUUUAGCCGAGGCUUUCAUUUCCGAUUGUGAAAGAACUUGGGGGUAAGGAAAACGUGUCUCACAAAAAAGGAAGAGGUACGGUGAUGACAGUGAAGACACCAGUCCGCCUACAGUUGUUACGGCAACCAGAACAAGUUCCGUCAUCAACAUUAUUCAAAGUAGCAAGAGUGGCGAACCAAAGGGCCACAGCAGCGCAAACAGUAUAGAAUUUCAAUAUUUGUCGGAUGAUGACGUGCCUCCAUCUUCACAAACAACGCUGGCCGAAAAACUUCAGUGGAAGGCAGUUCCUCGCGGCGACGAUAGACGGCCUGGUCUCUCAAUAUUUAUGAACCUCAUUUCAGUUCUAGGAGUCGUUGCGAACGCAAAGGCGCGACAAAAAAACGAAGAAAAUAUUGAGAUUGACUGUUUAUUGGAACAGAUAAAGACGUGCAGAAAGAAAAGUGGAGAAAAAUACCGCGAAGAAAGAAGCAUAACACCCGUUGAAGCUCAGGCAGCUAGGUCUUCGCGCAA